This 76-nucleotide transfer RNA is filed under the name Sulfuriferula nivalis. RNAcentral's name for it is "tRNA-Lys". It matches the Rfam family "tRNA". From Rfam's summary of the family: Transfer RNA (tRNA) molecules are approximately 80 nucleotides in length. Their secondary structure includes four short double-helical elements and three loops (D, anti-codon, and T loops). Lineage: Bacteria; Pseudomonadati; Pseudomonadota; Betaproteobacteria; Nitrosomonadales; Sulfuricellaceae. The record is from RNAcentral.
GGGUCGGUAGCUCAGUUGGUAGAGCAGCGGACUCUUAAUCCGUUUGUCGAGGGUUCGACCCCCUCCCGGCCCACCA